UACGAAGGGGGCGAGCGUUGUUCGGAAUCACUGGGCGUAAAGGGCGCGUAGGCGGCCCUCUUAGUCGCGUGUGAAAGCCCCGGGCUCAACCUGGGAACGGCGCGCGAAACGGGAGGGCUGGAGUUCGGGAGAGGAGAGUGGAAUUCCCAGUGUAGAGGUGAAAUUCGUAGAUAUUGGGAAGAACACCGGUGGCGAAGGCGGCUCUCUGGACCGAGACUGACGCUGAGGCGCGAAAGCCAGGGGAGCAAACGGG
Molecule: ribosomal RNA, 253 nt
Filed under: uncultured bacterium
Lineage: Bacteria
Description: partial 16S ribosomal RNA
Rfam family: Bacterial small subunit ribosomal RNA
Source: RNAcentral